CCUACGGGUGGCAGCAGUGGGGGAUAUUGCACAAUGGGGAAACCCUGAUGCAGCGACGCCGCGAGUGGGAAGACGGUCCUCUGGAUUGUACACCACUGUCCCCAGGGACGAAGAUGACGGUACCUGGGGAUGAAGCUCCGGCUAACUACGUGACGGCAGCCGCGGUAAUACGUGGGGAGCGAGCGUUGUCCGGAAUUACUGGGUUUAAAGGGGGCGUAGGCGGGGUUGCAGGUUGGGUGUAAAAACUACAGGCUCAACUGGUCGUCGCACUCAAAACUGCAGCUCUUGAGUGAAGUAGAGGCAGGCGGAAUUCCUAGGGUAGCGGUGAAAUGCGUAGAUAUUAGGAGGAACACCAGUGGCGAAGGCGGCCUGCUGGGCUUUUACUGACGCUGAGGCUCGAAAGUGUGGGGAGCAAACAGGAUUAGAUACCCCUGUAGUC
RNAcentral lists this ribosomal RNA (439 nucleotides) under uncultured bacterium. Its description in RNAcentral is "partial 16S ribosomal RNA". It matches the Rfam family "Bacterial small subunit ribosomal RNA", at positions 338 to 795 of the family's 1533-position model. The record is from RNAcentral.